GGGGGCGAAUGGGCUCGACGGGGGUUAUGAGGCUUAUGUUGCAUGUCGUGGCUCCAUCACCACGUAAAAAGAUGGAAAAAAACACAAACGCCAACAACGAACUGGCACUCGCUGCUUAAUUAAGCAGCUCGCUACCCUGGGAUCGCCUGUGUCCUGGGGAUAGCGACGAUCAGCAGGCUGGCAGCAGGGGAGAGCUCCUGACCCUGUUGCGAGACAAAGGGAGAUUGGAUUUCAGGCAGCCUGUCUGCCGGCGUCUUGAAGUCCGAAAACUGAAAAGACAGUCUACACAUGUAGAAGCAUAAGAGUAGUGCUUUCGGACGCGGGUUCGAUUCCCGCCGCCUCCACCA
RNAcentral lists this transfer-messenger RNA (347 nucleotides) under Nitrospira bacterium HGW-Nitrospira-1. It matches the Rfam family "transfer-messenger RNA". Rfam says of the family: Bacterial tmRNA, also known as 10Sa RNA or SsrA, is named for its dual tRNA and mRNA-like properties. The record is from RNAcentral. Lineage: Bacteria; Pseudomonadati; Nitrospirota; Nitrospiria. RNAcentral also lists the same sequence under 1 other name.